RNAcentral lists this unclassified non-coding RNA (254 nucleotides) under uncultured fungus. RNAcentral's name for it is "sequence contains ITS1". Lineage: Eukaryota; Fungi. The record is from RNAcentral.
GUAUAUAUUUGCGCUGUUAUACGCUAUAACAUUAUCCAUUCUAUAACUUUGUAUAUAAGUUUAUUAAAAAAAUCAUAGCUAGGGCUUUCGACAUCAUUUUCAAACAUCGUAAUCAUCCCAAGCUACACAUAGUGCACAGGUGUGAAAGGUGGAUGGAUAUAUGAUUAAGGUGUGCACAUACCCCAAAAGGCCAGCUACAACCCUUCUCAACAUUCAUUUCAUUAAUGAUCCUUCCGCAGGUUCACCUACGGAAA